GUYUUUUUGAAAAUAAUUUAAAGUWUAAUYUGCUCCAUGAUUUAUUAAAUAGCUGCGGUAUAUUAACCGUACAAAGGUAGCAUAAUCAAUAGUUUUUUAAUUGAAAGCUGGUAUGAAGGAUUUGAUGAGAUAAAUAUUGUCUCAAAUUUAUUAAUAUUAGAAUUUUUUUUUUAGUAAAAAUACUAAAAUUAAUUUGAAAGACGAGAAGACCCUAUAGAUUUUUAUAAUUUAAUUAAAAUAAAAUUUUAAAAAAAAUUAUUUGAUUGGGGAAAUUAUUAAAUUUAAAAAAUUUUAAUUAUUUUAAACAAAAAUUAUUGAAUUUAUGAUCUUAUAAUAUAGAUUUAAAGAAUAAAAUACCUUAGGGAUAACAGCGUAAUUUUUUUAGAGAGAUCAUAUUAAUAAAAAAGUUUGCGACCUCGAUGUUGAAUUAAGAUAAAAUUUUAAUGAAGAAGUUAAAAAAUUUUAKUCKGUUCRACUAUUAAAAUCUUACGUGAUCUGA
This 499-nucleotide ribosomal RNA is filed under the name Phaeogenini gen. n. sp. 2 BFS-2018. Its description in RNAcentral is "partial 16S large subunit ribosomal RNA". The stretch from base 364 to 499 matches the Rfam family "Archaeal large subunit ribosomal RNA", at positions 2544 to 2679 of the family's 2987-position model. The record is from RNAcentral. Lineage: Eukaryota; Metazoa; Arthropoda; Insecta; Hymenoptera; Ichneumonidae.